This 393-nucleotide ribosomal RNA is filed under the name uncultured bacterium. Its description in RNAcentral is "partial 16S ribosomal RNA". It matches the Rfam family "Bacterial small subunit ribosomal RNA", at positions 523 to 918 of the family's 1533-position model. The record is from RNAcentral.
CUACGGAGGAUGCAAGCGUUAUCCGGAUUUAUUGGGUUUAAAGGGUGCGUAGGCGGAUGAUUAAGCGUGAGGUGAAAUGCCACUGCUCAACAGUGGAACUGCCUCGCGAACUGGUUGUCUUGAAUGCUCCUGCCGUGGGAGGAAUGUGUGGUGUAGCGGUGAAAUGCAUAGAGAUUACACAGAACACCGAUUGCGAAGGCAUCUCACGAAGGGUUGAUUGACGCUGAGGCACGAAAGCGUGGGGAUCAAACAGGAUUAGAUACCCUGGUAGUCCACGCAGUAAACGAUGAUGGCUAACCGCUGGUUUAUUCGGAUCAGUGGCCAAGCGAAAGCGAUAAGCCAUCCACCUGGGGAGUACGACCGCAAGGUUGAAACUCAAAUGAAUUGACGGGG